RNAcentral lists this ribosomal RNA (494 nucleotides) under Salmonella enterica. Its description in RNAcentral is "bacterial SSU rRNA". It matches the Rfam family "Bacterial small subunit ribosomal RNA", at positions 1 to 484 of the family's 1533-position model. Lineage: Bacteria; Pseudomonadati; Pseudomonadota; Gammaproteobacteria; Enterobacterales; Enterobacteriaceae. The record is from RNAcentral.
AAAUUGAAGAGUUUGAUCAUGGCUCAGAUUGAACGCUGGCGGCAGGCCUAACACAUGCAAGUCGAACGGUAACAGGAAGCAGCUUGCUGCUUUGCUGACGAGUGGCGGACGGGUGAGUAAUGUCUGGGAAACUGCCUGAUGGAGGGGGAUAACUACUGGAAACGGUGGCUAAUACCGCAUAACGUCGCAAGACCAAAGAGGGGGACCUUCGGGCCUCUUGCCAUCAGAUGUGCCCAGAUGGGAUUAGCUAGUUGGUGAGGUAACGGCUCACCAAGGCGACGAUCCCUAGCUGGUCUGAGAGGAUGACCAGCCACACUGGAACUGAGACACGGUCCAGACUCCUACGGGAGGCAGCAGUGGGGAAUAUUGCACAAUGGGCGCAAGCCUGAUGCAGCCAUGCCGCGUGUAUGAAGAAGGCCUUCGGGUUGUAAAGUACUUUCAGCGGGGAGGAAGGUGUUGCGGUUAAUAACCGCAGCAAUUGACGUUACCCGCAG